GCCAUUUUGAAUACAAUCGAUGUGCAGACGAUCGCGUUUAAGAAAAUUCCAUUAUACCGCGUAACUGAAUCGAGUUCUCAAUUAAAUCGGUCCAUGUAAUCCGGAACACAUCAAAUCUGAUGGUAUGAUAAGGGGACACGGAUUAGAAGACCCCACUUGAAAUUUUUAUAAAAACACAAAAAUUAUCAUAAAGUCAAUGCUACCGGUUCAUAGUAAUCAGCCACAACAAACGAAAGCUGAAAAAGCACAAGCGGUCCUCGCACAAUCUGCCGAUUUUUUAUAAUUUCGGUGCGAAAUGCGAGAUACUAUAACGACCGUUUUUUUCACCAUCCGGAAGGAGCUGGAGCCGGCUGGACUACUUGAAGAACAUCACCCGCCGGCAAUCAAUAAAUUAUUAAACCCCCCGUAAACGAACAGCCCUGGUGUUGUGGCACUGAUAUGUUGGCCAUUUGCUGAAGCUACGGAUCUACAAAAUGCCACCCAGGCAUAUGGGAUCACCACUUCCGGAGUUA
Molecule: long non-coding RNA, 512 nt
Organism: Uranotaenia lowii
Lineage: Eukaryota; Metazoa; Arthropoda; Insecta; Diptera; Culicidae
Exons: 3
Source: RefSeq, a predicted model, not a curated record